AGCGAACGCUGGCGGCGGGCCUAAUACAUGCAAGUCGAACGGUCUCUUCGGAGGCAGUGGCGGACGGGUGAGUAACGCGUGGGAAUAUGCCCUUUGGUACGGAACAACUGAGGGAAACUUCAGCUAAUACCGUAUGUGCCCUUCGGGGAAAGAUUUAUCGCCAUUGGAGUAGCCCGCGUUGGAUUAGGUAGUUGGUGGGGUAAAGGCCUACCAAGCCUACGAUCCAUAGCUGGUCUGAGAGGAUGAUCAGCCACACUGGGACUGAGACACGGCCCAGACUCCUACGGGAGGCAGCAGUAGGGAAUCUUGCGCAAUGGGCGAAAGCCUGACGCAGCCAUGCCGCGUGAAUGAUGAAGGUCUUAGGAUUGUAAAAUUCUUUCACCGGGGAAGAUAAUGACGGUACCCGGAGAAGAAGCCCCGGCUAACUUCGUG
This 432-nucleotide ribosomal RNA is filed under the name uncultured bacterium. RNAcentral's name for it is "bacterial SSU rRNA". It matches the Rfam family "Bacterial small subunit ribosomal RNA", at positions 29 to 507 of the family's 1533-position model. The record is from RNAcentral.